GCAUAUCAAUAAGCGGAGGAAAAGAAACCAACAGGGAUUGCCCCAGUAACGGCGAGUGAAGCGGCAAGAGCUCAAAUUUGAAAGCUGGCUCCUUCGGGGUCCGCAUUGUAAUUUGUAGAGGAUGCUUCGGGAGCGGUCCCCAUCUAAGUGCCCUGGAACGGGACGUCAUAGAGGGUGAGAAUCCCGUAUGGGAUGGGGUGUCCGCGCCCGUGUGAAGCUCCUUCGACGAGUCGAGUUGUUUGGGAAUGCAGCUCUAAAUGGGUGGUAAAUUUCAUCUAAAGCUAAAUAUUGGCCGGAGACCGAUAGCGCACAAGUAGAGUGAUCGAAAGAUGAAAAGCACUUUGAAAAGAGAGUUAAAAAGCACGUGAAAUUGUUGAAAGGGAAGCGCUUGCGACCAGACUCGCUCGCGGGGUUCAGCCGGCAUUCGUGCCGGUGUACUUCCCCGCGGGCGGGCCAGCGUCGGUUUGGGCGGUCGGUCAAAGGCCCUCGGAAGGUAACGCCCCUAGGGGCGUCUUAUAGCCGAGGGUGCAAUGCGACCUGCCUAGACCGAGGAACGCGCUUCGGCUCGGACGCUGGCAUAAUGGUCGUAAACGACCCGUCUUG
Molecule: ribosomal RNA, 603 nt
Filed under: Penicillium kewense
Lineage: Eukaryota; Fungi; Ascomycota; Eurotiomycetes; Eurotiales; Aspergillaceae
Description: eukaryotic LSU rRNA
Rfam family: Eukaryotic large subunit ribosomal RNA
Source: RNAcentral